UCCCUGCUGCUCUGACACCGACGGAAACGCGCGGGCAGCCAUUUUGGAACAGCUGCAUGGUGCUCCACGUAAUGGAGGACCACUGCAACCAGUCAAAAAUGUGCCCAACGUAAAGUGGUGCGUGAAGCGGAGCUGCGUGUUUGGUGGGAUUUUCAGCAGCCCGCUCGCCGUGGCGGCAGAGCUUAAGCAGCUUGCUCACCUGACAGCGAGCCUGCUGGGCCGGCGAUACAGCGAGAAGGCCUUGCGAGAGCCCCGAGGCGAGAGGGAUGGGGGCCGAGGAGAAGCUGGGAAAAGAAGGAAUCUGGCCCGGAGAGACUCCGCUGUGCCGCGGCCAUUAAAAAUAUAACAAGCGCUGAACGGCACGGCGACUGUAGCUGUAGGAAGAAGGCUGGCUGCCAUGAGGCUUCUUGUUUCAGAAAUGAAAAGGUGAGGUCUGAGCGCAGCGGCGGCUCACCUCUGUAGGCUGCUUAUGGUGAGACGCAGUAACUGUCAGGGCCUUUUGUUCACUGUUGCUAACUAAGCACAAACAAACACAUUGUUUUGCUAUCACUAUUGUUUUGAUAUUCUGUUAGGCCUGGCCACCCACACCGAGUCUAUUCCUACCUGAAAAUGGAAGGUUCUCCUUGAGAAGACACAAGAAUUGUAUCAUCAGGAUUUGCCUGAUCUGCUGUAGUUUUGUUGUCAUUUUGUGACACUAUUUACUGAGGUUCUGCAUGAUAAUAAAUACGACAAAUGAUGAUGGUCCCUCUGUGGAAAAGUUCACUAAUAUUGGGUCAAAAUGUGAGUCAGAAAGGAGCAGGAGACGACAGACGUCACCUUUGUCAUGUGGUUCCUUCAGUCAUGACCCCUGUGAGGGUUGAAUCAUUAUUACAGUCAGCAGCAAGACAGGAAGUGAGCGUCCAGAGAGGAGCACUAGCAAGAGUAGUUCGCAAUGAAAAUGAUGGUCGAGUUUUAUGCAGCAGGUUUGGGAAAGGUUGCUCUGUUCCUGUGUGGUGCGCAUCACUAUUGUGUUGCCUGUAACUCACCAGCUAAGGCAUCAUGAAAAUGCUGUGGAAGAAUGGAUUUGUAGACUUUUAUUUUUCUCUCUCCAUCUCUGAGACAAAGACCGUGACGACCCGCUGACUCUGGGGGAAAAAAAAUAAAAAACGUGAUUUUCCAAGGUUCAGAACAAAAGACCAAUGUUACUCUUCACGUUUUAACCGGUGGUGACCGGAGCUCUGGCUGCCCAUGAGCGAGUGUGAGACCUGCCUGUUUAAAGCUCCACAUUUGAAUCCUCUUGGUUAUCCGCCACAUCCACCCACCGUUGGUGUCGAUCUCCAUUCAUUAUCACGCUGCUCAAAUUUGGUUUGGCUUGUUGCUUUUGAAAUCAAUGCCGACGAUUCCUCGUGUCGUCCGGACGCUUGUUGACGCCGCUCCUCGUGUGAAGAGCCAUCCAUGUGGCGCUGUCGAUUGCAGGCUACUGUAACUUUUUCAUUCCGAUCAGGUGGAACGCUUCAGUGGUCAAAGGUCGACCUCUCCUCGUUUCAUGUCAUGCUGGAACUCCUGUCUCAUUUGGACUCCCUUCUGUGGUCAUGUGAUCGAGGAGCCAGCGGCCCGCUGUGAAUUGAGUCCGACCCACAAGGUCAGUGAAUGCAGAGAGUGACAGGAGACGCCUCCGCUGGACGCCCUGCUGCUGACCUCUGACCUCGGCUGAAAGCCUGGCUUUCAGAGUGGCAACAUAAAUUUUAGAGAUUCAACAGCCACUUCAACAAACAGAACCGUCUGAGGCUUGAGUUGAAUUCUCAAACCGAGUUUCAGAACUUUGGCUUUUAUGUUGAAUCCAUCAAGCUUUUCACCACGUCUUUAUAUAAGAUCAGGCGAAUAGACCAAUACCAUGAAGCUAGAGGCGCAGUGUGAGACAGUAUUUGACACUGGGAGUGAAACAGGCCCAUCGCCUGUGUGUUCACAUGGUACAGUCCCGUGAUUGGCUUCGACCGGACUUCUCUUAGCAGCAGUGGAAGACGCUGUCAUUAUAGAGCAGGAGAUAGAAAAACAUGGGCAAUCGCCAAACCAUGUUAAAUCUGGGAAAUGACUGCAUUGCGGUGGGUUUUCUUUUGCAACACAUCUGGAAGUUAGCGUACAUAGUUUAGCUAGAUGGCAUUGCUGGGGCUACAUACAUUUGUUUUCAUGAUGUUGGAUGAAUCCAUCAUUUUUGUAAGUUGAUAUUGCCAGUCAAAUUCCAGUUCCAGUCAACAAACAUGGAUUCAGCCCAGUUUUUUUAGAGCGGUGUACAACCAGGGGACACUUACAUCCACCUGAGCUUUUGGUCGCAGGAUGCCUUACUUCAGUCCUUCUCAAAUAGUGGGUCAUGUGACCUAAGGGAACACUUUUUUGCCGUACUAGAAUAAAGUAUAAUUGCACACCCACUUUUUUUAAUUUCAGGCAAGUUGAUGCACGUUUCUGUUGCAGACAAAAACAAUGUUAAUAAAGUUAUUCUUUAUUGGAGGUUGAUCAAUAUUGCAUUCUUUUUUCUUCCUUUUCUACUUUUUUUAUAGACAAAUGAUACUAUUUACAGAGGCGGCGGACAAAUAAAAUAAUUGAGAAGCGCUGCCUUACAUGGUGAUGCUAUGGUGUUGGAACUAGAGGAGCAUCUCAGCAGCUUUGCUUGUAGCUGACUGUAGCUCUGACUGCCCUACUGUAG
Molecule: long non-coding RNA, 2680 nt
Organism: Synchiropus splendidus (mandarinfish)
Lineage: Eukaryota; Metazoa; Chordata; Actinopteri; Syngnathiformes; Callionymidae
Exons: 3
Source: RefSeq, a predicted model, not a curated record